GACGAACGCUGGCGGCGUGCAUAACACAUGCAAGUCGAACGGAAAGGCCCUGCUUUUGUGGGGUGCUCGAGUGGCGAACGGGUGAGUAACACGUGAGUAACCUGCCCUUGACUUUGGGAUAACUUCAGGAAACUGGGGCUAAUACCGGAUAGGAGCUCCUGCUGCAUGGUGGGGGUUGGAAAGUUUCGGCGGUUGGGGAUGGACUCGCGGCUUAUCAGCUUGUUGGUGGGGUAGUGGCUUACCAAGGCUUUGACGGGUAGCCGGCCUGAGAGGGUGACCGGCCACAUUGGGACUGAGAUACGGCCCAGACUCCUACGGGAGGCAGCAGUGGGGAAUAUUGCACAAUGGGCGGAAGCCUGAUGCAGCAACGCCGCGUGCGGGAUGACGGCCUUCGGGUUGUAAACCGCUUUCGCCUGUGACGAAGCGUGAGUGACGGUAAUGGGUAAAGAAACACCGGCUAACUACGUG
RNAcentral lists this ribosomal RNA (468 nucleotides) under uncultured bacterium. Its description in RNAcentral is "partial 16S ribosomal RNA". It matches the Rfam family "Bacterial small subunit ribosomal RNA", at positions 28 to 507 of the family's 1533-position model. The record is from RNAcentral.